UCGGGCACUUAUUCCGGCGCCCGGUAAGGCAAUGCGCCCAAGUCCGGC
This 48-nucleotide non-coding RNA is filed under the name Erythrobacter litoralis HTCC2594. The record is from RNAcentral. Lineage: Bacteria; Pseudomonadati; Pseudomonadota; Alphaproteobacteria; Sphingomonadales; Erythrobacteraceae.